UUGAAGUACCUGGAUUUUUCUGCUAGGGGAAAAAAGGACACAUGCACUGAAGUCUUGAUGAUUUUACCACUCUUCCAGAGCAGUUUCAUCUGAAACAAUAUCAGGGGUGUUGUGAGGAAGAGGCUCAUGGAAAACCAAGUAGAGGCUUU
Molecule: long non-coding RNA, 149 nt
Filed under: Struthio camelus australis
Lineage: Eukaryota; Metazoa; Chordata; Aves; Struthioniformes; Struthionidae
Description: lncRNA (ENSSCUG00000007976.1)
Source: RNAcentral